GGGGCGGUAGCUCAGCUGGUCAGAGCAGCGGACUCAUAACCCGCCAGUCGUCGGUUCAAGUCCGACCCGCCCCA
RNAcentral lists this transfer RNA (74 nucleotides) under Jatrophihabitans endophyticus. Its description in RNAcentral is "tRNA-Ile". It matches the Rfam family "tRNA". Rfam says of the family: Transfer RNA (tRNA) molecules are approximately 80 nucleotides in length. Their secondary structure includes four short double-helical elements and three loops (D, anti-codon, and T loops). The record is from RNAcentral. Lineage: Bacteria; Bacillati; Actinomycetota; Actinomycetes; Jatrophihabitantales; Jatrophihabitantaceae.